GGUUAAGCGACUAAGCGUACACGGUGGAUGCCCUGGCAGUCAGAGGCGAUGAAGGGCGUGCUAAUCUGCGAUAAGCGCCGGUAAGGUGAUAUGAACCGUUAUAACCGGCGAUACCCGAAUGGGGAAACCCAGUGUGACUCGUCACACUAUCAUUAACUGAAUCCAUAGGUUAAUGAGGCGAACCGGGGGAACUGAAACAUCUAAGUACCCCGAGGAAAAGAAAUCAACCGAGAUUCCCCCAGUAGCGGCGAGCGAACGGGGAGGAGCCCAGAGCCUGAAUCAGCAUGUGUGUUAGUGGAAGCGUCUGGAAAGGCGCGCGAUACAGGGUGACAGCCCCGUACACAAAAGCGCAUGUGCUGUGAGCUCGAUGAGUAGGGCGGGACACGUGGUAUCCUGUCUGAAUAUGGGGGGACCAUCCUCCAAGGCUAAAUACUCCUGACUGACCGAUAGUGAACCAGUACCGUGAGGGAAAGGCGAAAAGAACCCCGGCGAGGGGAGUGAAAAAGAACCUGAAACCGUGUACGUACAAGCAGUGGGAGCCCCACCACCAAAGCAUUCUCUGGUGUUGAAGGCCCUGCAAAGCAGCAUCGCGGUGGCGGAGCGUCGUUUGCGACGCCCAACACACAAAACAAGCGGUGAAUGCUUUGGGGUGGGGUGACUGCGUACCUUUUGUAUAAUGGGUCAGCGACUUAUAUUCUGUAGCAAGGUUAACCGAAUAGGGGAGCCGGAGGGAAACCGAGUCUUAAUUGGGCGUUAAGUUGCAGGGUAUAGACCCGAAACCCGGUGAUCUAGCCAUGGGCAGGUUGAAGGUUGGGUAACACUAACUGGAGGACCGAACCGACUAAUGUUGAAAAAUUAGCGGAUGACCUGUGGCUGGGGGUGAAAGGCCAAUCAAACCGGGAGAUAGCUGGUUCUCCCCGAAAGCUAUUUAGGUAGCGCCUCGUGAAUUCAUCUCCGGGGGUAGAGCACUGUUUCGGCUAGGGGGCCAUCCCGGCUUACCAACCCGAUGCAAACUGCGAAUACCGGAGAAUGUUAUCACGGGAGACACACGGCGGGUGCUAACGUCCGUCGUGAAGAGGGAAACAACCCAGACCGCCAGCUAAGGUCCCAAAGUCAUGGUUAAGUGGGAAACGAUGUGGGAAGGCCCAGACAGCCAGGAUGUUGGCUUAGAAGCAGCCAUCAUUUAAAGAAAGCGUAAUAGCUCACUGGUCGAGUCGGCCUGCGCGGAAGAUGUAACGGGGCUAAACCAUGCACCGAAGCUGCGGCAGCGACGCUGAUGCGUUGUUGGGUAGGGGAGCGUUCUGUAAGCCUGCGAAGGUGACCUGUGAGGGUUGCUGGAGGUAUCAGAAGUGCGAAUGCUGACAUAAGUAACGAUAAAGCGGGUGAAAAGCCCGCUCGCCGGAAGACCAAGGGUUCCUGUCCAACGUUAAUCGGGGCAGGGUGAGUCGACCCCUAAGGCGAGGCCGAAAGGCGUAGUCGAUGGGAAACGGGUUAAUAUUCCCGUACUUGGUGUUACUGCGAAGGGGGGACGGAGAAGGCUAUGUUGGCCGGGCGACGGUUGUCCCGGUUUAAGCGUGUAGGUGUGUGUUCCAGGUAAAUCCGGUUCACUUUAACACUGAGGCGUGAUGACGAGGCACUACGGUGCUGAAGCAACAAAUGCCCUGCUUCCAGGAAAAGCCUCUAAGCAUCAGGUAACAUCAAAUCGUACCCCAAACCGACACAGGUGGUCAGGUAGAGAAUACCAAGGCGCUUGAGAGAACUCGGGUGAAGGAACUAGGCAAAAUGGUGCCGUAACUUCGGGAGAAGGCACGCUGACACGUAGGUGAAGUGAUUUACUCACGGAGCUGAAGUCAGUCGAAGAUACCAGCUGGCUGCAACUGUUUAUUAAAAACACAGCACUGUGCAAACACGAAAGUGGACGUAUACGGUGUGACGCCUGCCCGGUGCCGGAAGGUUAAUUGAUGGGGUCAGCGCAAGCGAAGCUCCUGAUCGAAGCCCCGGUAAACGGCGGCCGUAACUAUAACGGUCCUAAGGUAGCGAAAUUCCUUGUCGGGUAAGUUCCGACCUGCACGAAUGGCGUAAUGAUGGCCAGGCUGUCUCCACCCGAGACUCAGUGAAAUUGAACUCGCUGUGAAGAUGCAGUGUACCCGCGGCAAGACGGAAAGACCCCGUGAACCUUUACUAUAGCUUGACACUGAACAUUGAGCCUUGAUGUGUAGGAUAGGUGGGAGGCUUUGAAGUGUGGACGCCAGUCUGCAUGGAGCCGACCUUGAAAUACCACCCUUUAAUGUUUGAUGUUCUAACGUGGACCCGUAAUCCGGGUUGCGGACAGUGUCUGGUGGGUAGUUUGACUGGGGCGGUCUCCUCCUAAAGAGUAACGGAGGAGCACGAAGGUUGGCUAAUCCUGGUCGGACAUCAGGAGGUUAGUGCAAUGGCAUAAGCCAGCUUGACUGCGAGCGUGACGGCGCGAGCAGGUGCGAAAGCAGGUCAUAGUGAUCCGGUGGUUCUGAAUGGAAGGGCCAUCGCUCAACGGAUAAAAGGUACUCCGGGGAUAACAGGCUGAUACCGCCCAAGAGUUCAUAUCGACGGCGGUGUUUGGCACCUCGAUGUCGGCUCAUCACAUCCUGGGGCUGAAGUAGGUCCCAAGGGUAUGGCUGUUCGCCAUUUAAAGUGGUACGCGAGCUGGGUUUAGAACGUCGUGAGACAGUUCGGUCCCUAUCUGCCGUGGGCGCUGGAGAACUGAGGGGGGCUGCUCCUAGUACGAGAGGACCGGAGUGGACGCAUCACUGGUGUUCGGGUUGUCAUGCCAAUGGCACUGCCCGGUAGCUAAAUGCGGAAGAGAUAAGUGCUGAAAGCAUCUAAGCACGAAACUUGCCCCGAGAUGAGUUCUCCCUGAGACUUUAGGUCUCCUGAAGGAACGUUGAAGACGACGACGUUGAUAGGCCGGGUGUGUAAGCGCAGCGAUGCGUUGAGCUAACCGGUACUAAUGAACCGUGAGGCUUAACCUUAC
This 3010-nucleotide ribosomal RNA is filed under the name Salmonella enterica subsp. enterica serovar Typhimurium str. LT2. RNAcentral describes it as "bacterial LSU rRNA". It matches the Rfam family "Bacterial large subunit ribosomal RNA". The record is from RNAcentral. Lineage: Bacteria; Pseudomonadati; Pseudomonadota; Gammaproteobacteria; Enterobacterales; Enterobacteriaceae.